This 244-nucleotide ribosomal RNA is filed under the name uncultured bacterium. Its description in RNAcentral is "partial 16S ribosomal RNA". It matches the Rfam family "Bacterial small subunit ribosomal RNA", at positions 15 to 266 of the family's 1533-position model. The record is from RNAcentral.
GAUCAUGGCUUAGGACGAACGCUGGCGGCGUGCUUAACACAUGCAAGUCGAACGAAGGGUAGAAAUACCCUUAGUGGCGGACGGGUGAGUAACGCGUGAGCAAUCUGCCCUUGUCAGGGGAAUAACACAUAGAAAUGUGUGCUAAUACCGCAUGACGUUACGAAGUGGCAUCACUUUGUAACCAAAGAAUUAUCGGACAAGGAUGAGCUCGCGUCCCAUUAGGUAGUUGGUGAGGUAACGGCCC